GAUGAACGCUGGCGGCGUGCCUAAUACAUGCAAGUCGAGCGAAUGGAUUAAGAGCUUGCUCUUAUGAAGUUAGCGGCGGACGGGUGAGUAACACGUGGGUAACCUGCCCAUAAGACUGGGAUAACUCCGGGAAACCGGGGCUAAUACCGGAUAACAUUUUGAACCGCAUGGUUCGAAAUUGAAAGGCGGCUUCGGCUGUCACUUAUGGAUGGACCCGCGUCGCAUUAGCUAGUUGGUGAGGUAACGGCUCACCAAGGCAACGAGGCGUAGCCGACCUGGCAGGGUGAUCGGCCCCCCUGGGACGAAGACACGGCCCAGACUCCUCCGGGAGGCAGCAGUAGGGAAUCUUCCGCAAUGGGCGAAAGUCUGACGGAGCAACGCCGCGUGAGUGAUGAAGGCUUUCGGGUCGUAAAACUCGGUUGUUAGGGAAGAACAAGUGCUAGUUGAAUAAGCUGGCACCUUGACGGUACCUAACCAGAAAGCCACGGCUAACUACGUGCCAGCCGCCGCGGUAA
RNAcentral lists this ribosomal RNA (515 nucleotides) under uncultured bacterium. Its description in RNAcentral is "partial 16S ribosomal RNA". It matches the Rfam family "Bacterial small subunit ribosomal RNA", at positions 28 to 523 of the family's 1533-position model. The record is from RNAcentral.